Long non-coding RNA from Acanthopagrus latus (yellowfin seabream), 971 nucleotides. RefSeq lists it as uncharacterized. The transcript is spliced from 3 exons. The record is from RefSeq and is a predicted model, not a curated record. NCBI's taxonomy places the organism in Eukaryota, Metazoa, Chordata, Actinopteri, Spariformes, Sparidae.
GUUCAGGAGAAGACUGAGCAGUCAUGAGCUCAGUGCUCAGCUGAUGGUUGGAUGCACAGCAGCUGAGUGUGGAAACCUCCAGCGGUCACGACACCAGCGAGGAAGACGUCACAGACACAAGACUCCUCACAGUGUGUUGCAGUAACAAGCUAACAGGAGAAACGUUUAUCCGUCAGUGUAAGGAGACUGGCGACCGUUCACAUGACGGAGCACUUCUCCUCCGCUUUGCUCUUCAGCUCGGUGACGGUGGCCGAGGCCUUCUCCUUCAGCUGGUCCAUGUCCAUGUUCUGCAAGUUUUGAAACUGGCCCAUGAUGGACUCCUUGCCCUCCUCCUCCGUGGCGUCCUCGUCCACCAUCUUGAGCAGCUCCUCGGGCACGUCCACGUCGUCCCCGGCCAUCUCGAUCAUGUUCUCGUCCUGCUCGCUCUGCGGACGACAACAGGGAACAAGGUCAGAAGUGUCACCAUAGGCCUUUUUUUUGGCAUAUAAAGUCACCAGAACAUGAAACUGCUCGCUAAAGUUUCUUUUUUAGAGGGUUUUAAAAUUUAGAUUUUAUUAGCUUUGAAGCAUUUAUUCAUAAAUAUUCACAUUUUCUUCUUAGAGUUGCCUGUGUUUUCUCUCAAACUGUAAUAGAGGAGUUAAAAUAAUUCUCCACAAUGUCACUUCAGCACCAGCCAUGAGGCAUUUAUCUGUUUUUCCUGGUCCUAAAAUAUGGUGUAAUAUUUAUGGCACUGUAUUGUAAUUCACCAAAGUAAACAACCAAAAGCCAAGUCUGGCUUAAAGGCUUGUUAAAAGAUUAACAUACUGUCUGCCUUCCCUGGUUUCCACAACACACGGCACAUCUUCCCACUGCUGGACUCAAAUCUGACAGUCCUUCAGCACAUGUUGACCAUCGUUCGUAUUGUAUUGUCCUCUUUUGAUUUUACUUAAAAUGUAAAAAAUUGGUCUUUGUUUUUUAAGUAAAUCUUGAAG